RNAcentral lists this ribosomal RNA (240 nucleotides) under Serratia marcescens. Its description in RNAcentral is "partial 23S ribosomal RNA". It matches the Rfam family "Bacterial large subunit ribosomal RNA", at positions 2712 to 2925 of the family's 2925-position model. Lineage: Bacteria; Pseudomonadati; Pseudomonadota; Gammaproteobacteria; Enterobacterales; Yersiniaceae. The record is from RNAcentral.
GUGUUCGGGUUGUCAUGCCAAUGGCAUUGCCCGGUAGCUAAGUGCGGAAAAGAUAAGCGCUGAAAGCAUCUAAGCGCGAAACUUGCCUCAAGAUGAGUCUUCCCUGGGCCUUUAAGGCCCCUGAAGGAACGUUUAAGACUAAGACGUUGAUAGGCUGGGUGUGUAAGUGCAGCGAUGCAUUGAGCUAACCAGUACUAAUGAUCCGUGAGGCUUAACCUUACAACACCGAAGGUGUUUUAG